Molecule: long non-coding RNA, 2607 nt
Organism: Papilio polytes (common Mormon)
Lineage: Eukaryota; Metazoa; Arthropoda; Insecta; Lepidoptera; Papilionidae
Exons: 2
Source: RefSeq, a predicted model, not a curated record
AGCAAUCAUGUCACAUAAAGUCUUUUAGGUUAAAUUGAUUAUCCAGUAAAGUUGUAUUUAAGUCGGUAUAGAUGGAUUAAAGCGGCACUUGGUGCGCAGGAGGCGAGCGGGGCUGAGGCGGAGGCGGAGGAGGCGCGAGCGGAGAGGAAGCGCCGACAAAGACAGGCGCAGGAGGAGUUCCGACUAAAGCAGCUGCUCAAACAGAAAACGGGACCGGAUGAAGUGCUGUCCAAAGACAAUAGCAGUGUAGACAACUUGCUGAUGGGGAUCGCUACACAGGAUAUAGUGGUGGAUGCUUCUGGUGCUGAGGGCAAGAGGAAGUCUCCCGCUCGCAACCUACCUGAAGCGCCCAAUAAGAGAAGGAAUAGCUUUAUCAACAAACUGGAUAUAUUGUAACCAGAGUGUAAAAUCCGACUCGAAGGACCAUGUUGUUAAAUCAUUAUCAAUUCAAGAGCAGAUAUUUUGCAGUGAAGCAUAUUUUUAUACAUUUAACCAUCAAAAGGCAAUAGUGUAAGGAUGUAUAAAUAAAAGAAACAUUGUCAAUGAACUCAAAUUUUAAUCUCUAACUAAUUAAGAUUCUUACACACGAAUAUAUACAAAAAAAACCUCGCGAACACGAAAAUAGUCCGAUUGUACUCAGGUAAAUUAAGAACGAAAAAAGAACACCUUUUUAGGACGAACGAUAAAACAAAACUUAUCCAUAGAUAUCUUAACUAAGUUAAACUAAUAUAAGGGCCAGUCCCAUCAAAAUUACAAUUAAACCUACACAAAGCGGCCAUUUUGUUGGCAAAAUGGCGGACGUUGAUAGUUCAAAUUAAACGAAUAAAUCGUAAAAAGACAAGUUAGGUUGGCACGCGAUUACUUAUACAAAUAAGCUUUCAAGCCUUCCGAAUCAGGGGUGAACUGAGAUAUAAAUUCAUAUCUCUAGUUCUAUUUUGUUAUUAGUACAAAUAAGUGGGUAAAUCGAAAACUUAUAUAAACCAAGCUUUCUUAUAAGCCUGUCAUUUCAAUGCAUGUUAAAAAACUCAACACGUUUAUUGCUCGCCUUGUCUAAAAAGUUUACGAAAAAUUAUAUUUGCAUAAACUUGUUAAAAAUUGUUCUUGUCACAGUAUCGGUUAAGCACUUCUCUAGAUUAAAAAAUUAAAGCCGUCUCUAUGGUCUUACAUAUUGUUAGAAAAGAUAUAUGUAUGCUGGCCAACACAUAUUUUACAUAUAAAACUUCUAAUUGUGACAUACAUUGCACUACUUUAUAUGAUUUUAUAAUAAUAAAAAAAUAUACCGCGUAACAUAUGUAAUGAUUAAAAUUAAUGUUACCAAUAUGGGUUAGAAAACACAGAUAACUUAUACUUUACGUAAACAAAAUCAUAUAUUUUCUAGUUUGUUAUGUGUAUCAAAUUUGUAUUGUGAAAAAAUCUAUUUAAUAUUUACAAUUGAUAAUUUUCAUCGAUUCUAAUAACUUUAGUAUAAAAUAUUAAGAGAAUACAAUCGAACCUGGAUCAGUGAAACUCUGAUUUGAGAGAAGCCACUAUCAGCGAGACGGUCUAAUUUUUGAGAAAUCUUUCGAAGCGAGGAACUCAAAUUUUUGAGAAAUCUCUAUAAGCGAAAACUCAAUUUUUUGAGAAACUUCUAUAAACGAGAAACUAAUUUGUGAGAAAUCUCUACCGAAAAACUCAAAUUUUUGAGAGAUCUCUAUAAGCGAGAAACUAAUUUUUGAGAAACCUCUAUAAACGAGAAACUAUUUUGUGAGAAAUCUCUACCGAGAAACUCAAAUUUUUGAGAAAUCUCUAUAAGCGAGAAACUCAAAUUUUUGAGAAAUCUUUAUAAGUCUAAUUUAUGAGAAGCCUCUAUUAGCAAGUAAUAUGUCGAUCUCGCAGACUCGCUUCCGCAGGUUGGACUGUAUACCCAUUUACUUAAAGCGAUAUUACAUAGGAUAAUUGGACAUACAUGACUCAUAUUUCUACGUCUAUCAGUGAAAUUACAACCUUCUAAAACAUUACAAAUAUAUAAAGCAGAAUUUAUAUAUUUCGAAAAUAUAUUUUUACUAUAUCCACUACAUACUACUGAUAACAUAUAUACAUAUGGUUAUAUUGAUAAAAGCUACAUAUAUUAAUUAAUAUAGUAUAUAAAUUGAAUGAAUUUUAUCAUAAAUUCAUGAUGAAACUUCCUCUAAGAAUAGUUUAUUUCGACAUCAAAACCUCAAAUUAAAUUUUUACAUAAAAAAUAUUUUUGUAUAUCAACUGAAAAGACUUAUUUAAUCUACAAUUAAUCAUUAUAUAAAAACUUUUUGUAGAUAUCUUAUACUAAAGAUAUUAUAUGUUUUAAUAUACUCUGUUCAAUAUAUGUACUACAAUAUGGUAUUUAUUUUAACCCUUAAAAGCCUGAUUCGUGUGAAGUAUACCUUUUACUGUGUUUUUACUGAGGAAAAAUAGUAAAAAAAUCAAAACGAAGUUUUUAUAUAUUUUCGUUAUUUAUAGAUUAUCAAUCAGAAGUAACAUGAAAAUUAAAAUAAAACCGAUUGUAGGUGCCCAAAGCAAUUUAUAACCCCAACAUCAAAUUUUAAACUUCAGGCAUUUAAGAGUUAAAUAAUUAUAUGUAUCUUUCUAAUU